AUUGAACGCUGGCGGAAUGCUUUACACAUGCAAGUCGAACGGUAGAGGGGGCAACCCCUCGAGAGUGGCGAACGGGUGAGUAAUAUAUCGGAACGUGCCCAGUCGUGGGGGAUAACGUAGCGAAAGUUACGCUAAUACCGCAUACGCUCUAAGGAUGAAAGCGGGGGAUCGCAAGACCUCGCGCGAUUGGGGCGGCAGAUAUCAGAUUAGGUAGUUGGUGGGGUAAAGGCUCACCAAGCCAACGAUCUGUCACUGGACUGAGAGGACGACCAGCCACACUGGAACUGAGACACGGUCCAGACUCCUACGGGAGGCAGCAGUGGGGAAUUUUGGACAAUGGACGCAAGUCUGAUCCAGCCAUUCCGCGUGCAGGAUGAAGGCCCUCGGGUUGUAAACUGCUUUUGUACGGAACGAAAAGGUCUCUCUUAAUACGGGGGGCUCAUGACGGUACCGUAAGAAUAAGCACCGGCUAACUACGUGCCAGCCGCCGCGGUAA
RNAcentral lists this ribosomal RNA (496 nucleotides) under uncultured bacterium. Its description in RNAcentral is "partial 16S ribosomal RNA". It matches the Rfam family "Bacterial small subunit ribosomal RNA", at positions 30 to 523 of the family's 1533-position model. The record is from RNAcentral.